RNAcentral lists this ribosomal RNA (253 nucleotides) under uncultured bacterium. RNAcentral describes it as "partial 16S ribosomal RNA". It matches the Rfam family "Bacterial small subunit ribosomal RNA", at positions 524 to 776 of the family's 1533-position model. The record is from RNAcentral.
UACGUAGGGGGCAAGCGUUGUCCGGAAUCAUUGGGCGUAAAGAGCGUGUAGGCGGCUCGGUAAGUCCGCUGUGAAAGUCCAGGGCUCAACCCUGGAAUGCCGGUGGAAACUGUCGAGCUAGAGUCCGGAAGAGGCGAGUGGAAUUCCUGGUGUAGCGGUGAAAUGCGUAGAUAUCGUCUGGAACGCCGAAGGUGAAAACAGCUCGCUGGGGCUGCGCUGACGCUGAGACACGAAAGCCAGGGGAGCGAACGGG